UACGCCCGAUCUCGUCCGAUCUCGGAAGCCAAGCAGGGUCGGGCCGGGUCAGUACUUGGAUGGGAGACCGCCUGGGAAUACCAGGUG
RNAcentral lists this ribosomal RNA (87 nucleotides) under Trematomus bernacchii (emerald rockcod). Lineage: Eukaryota; Metazoa; Chordata; Actinopteri; Perciformes; Nototheniidae. The record is from RNAcentral.